Molecule: unclassified non-coding RNA, 89 nt
Filed under: Pseudomonas sp. NFACC05-1
Lineage: Bacteria; Pseudomonadati; Pseudomonadota; Gammaproteobacteria; Pseudomonadales; Pseudomonadaceae
Source: RNAcentral
UGUGGGAGCGAGCUUGCUCGCGAUGGCGUCUUGCCGGUCGACUUGAUGCUGACUGACAUACCGCUAUCGCGAGCAAGCUCGCUCCCUCA